CCGCCGCCCGCGGCGCCGCCUGUCCCGGACUUGGCCGCGCCGCUCUCCUCGCCACUGCCCCAGUCCUCGCUCUGCAGCGUGGGCCGCCCGUCCAGAGAGAUGUUGGUGAGAAAGAACAUUAGGUCGAUUCACAAACAUGAUCCAGGUUGUCUAAGCUGGAGUCUUAGAGUUCUGUGGAGCAAGUAAGUGUACAUGUUCAAGAAAGUAAACUGAGUAAUGGAGAAAGGAAUACACCACCAGUCUUGUAACCAGCAGCCAACAAGGAGUGUGGCUUCAUGUUACAUUUGCCAAAGACAAACAGUACAUUCCACAUGGCACAUCCAGGCUCACAGGUUGCAGACAAAUAAGAGCAAAUAAAAGACAAUUGCUUUUAAAAAAAAUUGCCAACAUUUUCUUUUAUCUUUUUUUUUUAAGUAACCCUAACCUUCCACUUACUUUCUACCUUAGAAUCAAUACUGAUUCUAAAACAGAAGAGUGGUAAGAACUGGGCAAAGGGGGUUAUGUGACUUGCCCAGGAAAUGACUGAGGUCCAGUUUGAACCCAGAACCAGUGUUUAAGCCUAGCUCUCAAUCCACCGAGCCACCUUGCUGCCCCAUUUUAUGCUUUAAAAAAAUAUGGAAAGUUAAGUCUUUUUCCCUUGCCUAAGCACUGUUUUGGCAGCCUAAUCUCAUACUCUGGUGACCAGGAUCUAUGCAGUUUAGUCAGACAUUCAAUUCCUCUACUUGAGGAAACUACCUUGAAAUUUUCAAAGGUGCUAUUAUAGUUAACUUAAUUUACAUGACCCCUAACAAUCAAAUGCAAGGCCACAGAAGUGCUAAGUGAAUGAGUUUAACUGCUUAUUGUCUGUUUGUCAAUUUCCAUUUUUAUUUAACACCAAACAUUGGACACAUUUGUCUACACUGGUAGACACUUAAGCAGCCUCCAAGGGUGUUUCUGAGGGUAACUGGAUAGGGGAAGAGGCUCUUUUGGUUAAGGAAAGAUGGUUGGGGGUGGAAUAUUUAAAUACACCACUGUAUUUGUCCUAAUUUAAAUUCAUUUAUAUCUCACUUUGACUUAUUUCAAAUCUGAGGGUUUUUUCCAUAUUGAUUCAUUCAACAAAUAAUUAGUUGAGUAGCUAUUUUAUAUGUAACACCACUGUCCUGGGCCUCAGGGCUGGAGGCCCCAAGUAAAACUCUGUCCUGGGCUUUUGACUCCAGAGAUAUAAAAAAUGAUUUUUCAUUCAGUGGGAAUUUGUAAUUAAACAGCCUUAAAAAAAGAAAAAGUAUAAGAGGGUGGAUGGACCUUGUAAUCUUUAUGGUAUAGUAGGAAGGGCCAAAUAGGACACAAAUGAAACCAUUAUCAUACAAGACUAGAUCUGAUUAGAUGCUCAAAUUAUCAAUAGAGAUGAAGAUUAUGAGGAGUACAGAAAAGAGAAACUUUCAGGAGUAGCUAGAAUCAUAGGAAAAGGCUGUAGAGAGUUAGUGGAGCUUGAGUUAAGAAGUUAAAUAGGAUUUGAAUAUGUAUAGAUUCAACCUUUUUUGGGUCAUGGAAACCUUUGUUAGUCUGGUGGUCUAUGGACUCCUCAGAAUAAUGCUUUUAAAAAAAUGUAAAAAAUACAGACUAUUACAAAGGAAAUUAUUAUAUCAAAAUAUAUAUAUUUUUAAAUUUUAUUUUUAAAGCUUUUUCCAUGGCUACAUGAUUCUUGUUAUCUUCUUUCUCUCUUUCUUCCUCCUUCCUGGAGUUGUCAAAAUAUUUUAGAAAACAGGUUUACAGAUUCUUAGUUAAGAAAAUUCUGAUUCAAAGGAAGGGAAAAGACAUUUUAGGAAAAUCAAAUAACAUUCCUGUUUGGUCAUUAGCAAAGGAAAAUGAAACUUCUCUAUAGAUCUUUCUCUCUGGCUUUUUUUUUUUUAAACUACAAGCUUGUUUUCUGUGCCAUGCUAGGAGAUCAUUUCCAUCCAAACAAAACAAUUUGGUGAUUUUGACUCUCUAGUCUGGCUAAAUCAGGAGGGAGAAAAUGUACAAAACUGAUUGGCUUUUUUUUUUUUUUGAGUAAUAACUGACUUGACAGGCUAAAAUCCAGGGAUCAAACUCAGAAAACCUAAGAAAACCUUUUGAGGUAAGAGGCUAACACAUAUUAACAGCAAAAUGAAAACACAUCAUCUUUAAAACACACACACACACACAAUUAUACUUUACAUGGGCAGGAGCCAAUCAGUCAAUAAAUAUUUGUUAGUGUUAUUAGGUACCAUGUUAAGCUCUGAGAAUACAAAGAAAAGCAAAAAAAAAAAAGUCCUUGCUCUCAAGGAACUCACAGUCUAAUGGAGGAGGCAACAUGCAAAGAGCUACAUGUGUACAAAUUGGAGGUAAUCAGCAGAAAAAAAAGAGCACUAUCAUUGAAGGGGAUUGAGAAAGGCUUCUUUUAAAAGCACUAAGAAAAGGAAUUGUCAGCAUUGGCUCAAAUUAGAAAAUUAUUUUCAUUUGGGUUACACUAGACAGGUACUUUGGCUGCUGUUGGUAGGCCAGUGGCAUUCAUAUCAAAAGAAAUAGGGAGCACAAUAGUAUUCCAUCACCAACAGAUAUUUGUUAAUGAUGGAAUACUAUUGUGCUCAAAGAAAUAAUGAACUGGAGGAAUUCCAUGUGAACUGGAACGACCUCCAGGAACUGAUGCAGAGUGAAAGGAGCAGAACCAGGAAAAAUUGUACACAGAGACGGAUAUACUGUGGUAAAUUCAAAUGUAAUGGACUUCUCUACUAGCAGCAAUGCAAUGAUCCAGGACAAUUCUGAGGGACUUAUGAGAAAGAAUGCUAUCCACAUCCAGAGAAAGAACUGGGGGAGUAGAAACAGAAGAAAAACAACUGCUUAGUCACAUGGGUCAAUGGGGAUAUGACUGGGGAUGUAGACUCUAAACGAUCAUCCUAGUGCAAUCAUCAAUAACAGGGAAAUAGGUCUUGAUCAAUGACCCAUUUAAACCCAGUGGAAUUUCGUGUCAGGAGGGGGAGGGGGGUCGGGGGGAAGAACAUGAAUUAUGUAACCAUGGAAAAAUAUUCUUAAUUAAAUUAAAUUUUUUCAAUUAAAUAAACGAAAAGAAAUAGGGAGCAGAAAGUUUAGCAUAAGUCAAUCUAGUCAUGGAAUGUAGGGCUAGAAGGCAUCUGAUCCAAUUGCCAUCCCCCAUCCGCAUUUUAUAGAUGACAAGACCAAGGCCCUGUAUGUUGAUAUCUUCUGAUUUCUAUUCAAUCUGCUUUCCGGUAGGUUCAUAUAGUGCCUCCUGUCAUUCAUCUUGUCUAAGGAGACAUACACCCUAUCUAAGGAGACAAUCCUUCAGGUUUAUAAGUUCCAUGGGAAAAAGGAAAUAAGCAGUGGUAUAUUUGGUGACUGAGCAGUAUUUUAGUUGGCUAUUACAAAGUAGGGCAGCUAGUGUAAAGUGGACAGAGCACCUAGUCUGGAAUUGAGAAGACCCAUCUUACAGAGUUCAAAUUUAGGCUCCAACACUUACUAAGUGACUCUGAGCAAGAGGUUUUCUUGGCAAGAUACUGAAGUGGCUUGGCAUUUCCCUCUCGGGCUCAUUUUGCAGAUGACAAAACUGAGGCAAACAGGGUUAAAGUGAUUUGCUCAAGGUUUGCAUAGCUACCACUAAACCCCAAAGCCCAGAUUUGAACUUAAAGUCUUCCUAACUGCAGACAGGGCACUAUAUCCACUGUAUUAUCUGCUGCUCCAGGGGGAACAAUGCAAGUGGUCAAUGAAUGACUUUAUUUUUUUAAACCCUUAUCUUCCGUCUUAGAAUCCAAAUGAAGUCUUAGUUGCAAGGCAGAAGAGCAGGCAAGGACUAGGCAUUGGGAUUAAGUGACAUGGGCAGGUUCACCUAGCUAGGAAGUGUCUGAGGUCAAAUUUGAACUCAGCACCCCCUUUUUUCUCCAGAUCUGCCUCUCUAUCCACUGAGACAGCAAUGGUCUUCUGACUGAUGUUUUCUUUUGUACAGUGGGUAUGAGAAAGCAAGGGAGAAUGCUACUCUCUGUAUGUUAUUUGUUUUAAGUCCUAAAAAACCAAGAUGCCCCUGAGGAACUCGGAAGCAACAAGUGUCCUCUUUCACUACCAAGGAUAUUAAAUACCUGGGGAAGAACCAGAACAUUAGAAUUGUACUUAACCUAUUUCAAAGCCUUCUAUGAGUUGUCAGCCAUGUAAUAAGAUUUCUCCUGUGCCUUCCCAAAUCCACCUGGAGUUCAUCUGCAGAAUUUUUCAGCAAACUGAAAUUUUGAGGAAAAAUGAAAUGACUUUUUAUGUCAUGGUGUAUUUUAAUGAUUAUUAUUCUAUAUUAUUUUAUAUUGUUAUUCAUUAUCCAUGAUUUCCAGAAAUAUGUUCCAUGCAUUACCAUGAAAAGAGAAUCUUGAGAGGGUAUUCUGUUAAGUGUCAUAGAAUCACGUUUUUGUGCGAAAAAGAUCUUCAGUAGAGAUCUUCUCAUCUAGACCCCUCCCUUUAUUUUUUACAAAUGAGGAAGACCCAGAAAAAUUCAAUAAUUCACAGAGCCCCAAUUCUCUGCCUCCUCAUCCAGCCCUCUUCACACCGUGCUGUCAUUCUCGCCCCAAAUUUUUCUUUUGAAUGGUGUUUUCCUUUCUGUUGAAUCAUCUAGCAAUGAUUUCUGACACCUGAGUACAAGUGGAGUGUGAAUUGACCCAAAAGGGGCAGGGAAGGUAGCGGCGGUCCAGAGACCGGAGUUGGAGUCCCGACUUUGGCCCUUAUUAGCUGUGUAAACUGGAAUAUUCGUUUCUUGUUUCCUAAUCUGAAAAAUGGAAAAGGUUGGACUUGUUGAACUCAGGGGGCUUUCCAGGUCCGAAAUCCUCCCAAUUUAAAUGGUUUCUUCUGCUCUUCUGGCCCUUUGGCGCCCUCUGGCGGCAGUGCUAACGAGUGGCCGGAAGAAGGGAGAGGGACUCCCAGAAGGACCCCAUUCGCACCCUCGCUAAGCCUGGCCAGGAAGAAUUUGGGAGGGCAACCAUCACAACACAGUCCUGUAAAACAGAUUUUUAUGAAGCACAUUUGUACCGUUAAGAGCCAAGAGAAACCCGAGGAAACCUUAGGAAAAGUCAGCUCACCCCCUCAUGCAUUUUAAAAUCAUGUUUCCUGAUCUUUUGAGUCACGUCAAAUAGUAAGCUUUCAAAAACUGUUAAAACCCCGUCUUGCAGCGGAAUCCACGUUAAGCCCCUCCCCUCCCCUCCCCUCCCCUCCCCCCUUCCCCCUCAACCUGCUAUGAAAUCUGUAGAGCAGAUGAAGCUCUGCCUUCGGGGAAGGAGAGAGCUGGCUGUUGAGGGCCACAGUUACACGUGGUUUUUCCAAGAAUUCCUCCCCUCUUUGGUGGACUGUAGCUUCUGGGCCUUAAGGUUCAUUGCUUUUAAUGGCCUCUAGAGAGCCAUGGGGGAGGCUGACAGGGAGUUUUAUAUGGUAAUACAAGCAGAAGACUUCAUAACGGUUGAAUGUUUGCUCUAUGUCUAUGGUUUUACAAACUAGCCAUGAGGUGAUACUUUUUUUCUCCCAUAGCAUCUCCUUGAAACUGUCUAUAAAUUUGGAGGUACAGAGAGACCCAGAUAACUACCUGAAUCUAGGUUAGAAAAUUAUUUUUAGGAAUAGCUGGGUGACUUUGUGGAUAGAGAGCAAGGUCUCAAAAUGGAAGAUUCUGGGUUCAAAUCUGACUUAAGACACUUCCUUGGGCAAGUCACUUAACACCCAUGGUCUAGCCUUUACCACCGCUCUUCUGCCUUAGAACCAAUAUACAACAUUGAUUCUAAGAUGGAAGGUUAAAAAAUAUUUUUUUAAUCAUUGUUAUAUCCUUGACUCACAAAACUCAUUUCCUAUAUUUAUCAUAUUCACAAAACUCAUUUUAUGUAUUCAUGUUUCAUAUAUUCAUAUAUUGUUUCCACCAAACUCUUUUAGAGAUUAAUUAAUAGUUAAUAAACAUUUAUUGUCUCUGGAGUGCCAGGCACAGUGCUAAGCAAUGGGAUAUAAAUAAGAAAAAGGGAAAGAUGAUCUCUGCUCUCAGGGAGCUUACAAUAUUUAGGGGGCAGGCAGUACCCAAAAGGAGGAGGUGACUGGGUUGGAACCCCAAAGAGAUAAUAAUAAAAAUGUCUGUAUGAAAACCUUUCUAGCCACGCUCUCUGAGGUGGCAAAAAAUUGGAAAAUGAGGGAAUGCCCCUCGAUUGGGGAAUGGCUGAACAAAUUGUGGUAUCUGAUGGUGAUAGAAUAUUAUUGUGCUGUAAGGAAUGAUGAAGUGGAGGAUUUCUGUAUGAAUUUGGAGAACCUCCAGGAACUGAUGCAGAGUGAAAGGAGCAGAACCAGGAAAACAAUGUACACAGAGAUCAAUACAUUAUGGUAAAAUCGAAUGUAAUGGACUUCUCUACUAGCAGCAAUGCAAUGAUCCAGGACACUCCUGAGGGACUUAUGAGAAAGAGCACUAUCCACAUCCAGAGGAAGAACUAUGGGAGCAGAAAUGCAGAAGAAAAACAUAUGAUCGAUCACUUAUCACUUGUAUAUUUGAGUAUAUGAAUUGGGGUUUUAGCUUUAAAAGAUCGCUCUAUAGCAAAAAUGAAUAAUAUGAAAAUAGGUAUCAAGUGAUGACAUUUAUACAAUCAGUGGAAUUGCUUGUCUUCUCUGGGAUGGGUGGGGGAGAGGGGAGGGAAAGAAAAUGAAUCAUGUCAAUAUGGAAAAGUAUUUUAACAAUAAAGAGGAAGAGAUAUAAAGGGAGGGGUGAAAGGGGUGCAGAGAAGGGACCCAACACUGUAGCAAGGUCAGAAAUUAUUCCAGAGUAGUGGAACCAGGUGAGAAAAGAGAUGUGAGCUGAGCUCCCCCCCUAAAAUGAAGAUUUGGGAGCUCUUGGUUUCACUUUUCAUCAGAGAUUUAGAGGGUGGUAGGCUGGGCUGAUGGGACCUUAGUGGUGGACUGGGUCAGAUCUGUGCUUUAAGAUCAGUUUGCCAGUUAAAGGGAGGAUGGACUGGAGUUGCUAGGUAACUUGAAAGCAUUUGAUUUAACAAUUUAAACAUCAUUUGUAACUUUGUAGAAAGCUAUUAAGUUGAAUAAUGAGGUCCUAAGCAAGACUAUAGAGAGUUAAGAAGAAAGAGAGAUACAAAGAAAUAGAGGCAUCAGUUCUAGAUGGGCUUCUCAAGAAGUUUAGCUACAUAAUCUGGAAUUAUACCCAAAGACUUAAACAAAUGUGUAUACCUUUUGACCCAGCAAUACCACUCUUUGGUUUGUUUCCUAAGGUGAUGGGGAGAAAGGAAAAAAACACUAUAUGUUCUAGAAUAUUUAUAGCAGCUCUAAGAAUUGGAAAUUGAAGGGGAAUGACUAAACAGUUUAUGGCAUAUGACUGAAAGAAUAAUACUGUACCAUAAAAAGUAGAGUGACUUUGUGGUGGCAAAAAAUUGGAAAAUGAGGGGAUGCCCUUCAAUUGGGGAUUGGCUGAACAAAUUGUAUAUGUUGGUGAUGGGAUACUAUUGUGCUCAAAGGAAUAAUGAACUGGAGGAAUUCCAUGGGAACUGAAAAAACCUCCAGGAAGUGAUGCAGAGUGAAAGGAGCAGAACCAAGAGAUUAUACACAGAGACUGAUACACUGUGGUACAAUCGAAUGUAAUGAACUUCUCCAUUAGUUGCAAUGCAGUGAUCCUGAACAACUUGGAGAAAUCUAUGAGAAAAAACAUUAUCCACAUUCAGAGGAAAAACUGUGAGAGUAAAAACACCAAAGAAAAACAACUGCUUGAAUACAUGGGUCCAGGGGAUAGUGCUGGGGAUGUAGACUCUAAAUGAACAUCUUAGUGCAAACAUCAACAGCAUGGAAAGAGGUUCUGAUCAAGGACACGUGUAAUACCCAGUGGAAUUGCCCAUCCGCUACGGGAAGGGCAGAGGGAGGGGAGAGAGGGAAAUAAUAUGAUUCUUGUAACCAAGGAAUAAGGUUACAAUUUGACUAAAUAAAUAAAUUUAAAAAUCAUUAGAACUUGAAAAAAAAAGUAAUAGUCUUAUUUCAAUGGAAUAUAAGCAUAAUUUUAAUGAAUAAAAUGAACUAAUUGCUAAAAAAAGUAAUGAGCGGGUUAAUGAAAAAAAAAUCAUGGAAAGACCUACAUGAAAUUAGGAAGAGUGAAACAAGAAAAACCAAGAAAAUAUUAUAUAUAGCAGCAGAAUAUUGUUUGAAGAAUGACUCAUGUGUGUCUACUUCCAGAGAAAGAACUGAUAAAUUGAAAUAAAUAAGACAUGGUUUUAUAUAUA
Monodelphis domestica (gray short-tailed opossum) is the source of this 8216-nucleotide long non-coding RNA. RefSeq lists it as uncharacterized. Lineage: Eukaryota; Metazoa; Chordata; Mammalia; Didelphimorphia; Didelphidae. The record is from RefSeq and is a predicted model, not a curated record.